Humulus lupulus (European hop) is the source of this 93-nucleotide small nucleolar RNA. RefSeq annotates it as small nucleolar RNA snR60/Z15/Z230/Z193/J17. The transcript has a single exon. NCBI's taxonomy places the organism in Eukaryota, Viridiplantae, Streptophyta, Magnoliopsida, Rosales, Cannabaceae. The record is from RefSeq and is a predicted model, not a curated record.
AAUGGUCGUAUGAUGAUUUAUUAUGCAUAGUUCAGAUGAAUAUCUGUGAUUACAUUUUUACAUUUAGUAUUUCGCUCCUAUCUGACGACUGAA